Molecule: unclassified non-coding RNA, 331 nt
Filed under: soil metagenome
Description: partial contains 5.8S ribosomal RNA, internal transcribed spacer 2, and large subunit ribosomal RNA
Rfam family: 5.8S ribosomal RNA (bases 1-120)
Source: RNAcentral
GAUGAAGAACGUAGCGAAAUGCGAUAAGUAAUGUGAAUUGCAGAAUUCAGUGAAUCAUCGAAUCUUUGAACGCACAUUGCGCCACCUGGUAUUCCGGGGGGCAUGCCUGUUCGAGCGUCAUUUCACCACUCAAGCCUCGCUUGGUAUUGGGCAACGCGGUCCGCCGCGUGCCUCAAAUCGACCGGCUGGGUCUUCUGUCCCCUAAGCGUUGUGGAAACUAUUCGCUAAAGGGUGUUCGGGAGGCUACGCCGUAAAACAACCCCAUUUCUAAGGUUGACCUCGGAUCAGGUAGGGAUACCCGCUGAACUUAAGCAUAUCAAUAAGCGGAGGA